AUUAAUGACAUGGGCGAAUUGCAGAUUGGGCAAGAAGCAACAUUGCAACUGGCGUUACAAAACGGCCAACAUAUCCGACGUGUGCGAGAGGAAGACGCACAACGCUGGGCUGGAUGGUACCAAAAUUUCCCGCCACCACAGUGAGCGAAGAUCUAGCUUGGGGGAGAUCCUCUCCCCCACUAAGGUAAGUAUUCUAUCCUAUUUAUUUUCAUGCAUUUUAUCAUUCUUACUUAAAAAAAAAUAUAAAUAUUUAUUAGCAUUUCCCUUUAGCAUAUAUGCUUCAUGUAUGUUUAUAUCCCUCAUGGAAAUUAUGACUAGUUGCUUGUUAAUGCUUCUCUAGUGCCUAGUAUACAACUUAGUAUUUCUCUAAGUAUGGAUCACUUAGCUCACUUAAACUGCCAUGAACCUAAAAACUUUGUGGGUUGCAAGUGCUAGAACUAAGUCUAAGUUGUUGUGGGACAUGAGAUAGUAAGACAAGAGCUACUAUAAUAUUUUUCUAAGCAUGCAUGAUUAUCAGAGAUUUAUUCUUAAAAUGAUCAAAACCUUAAUUGUUCCUCAAUGGUGAUGAAUUCCUACCAUAGCCAUAUCUACUUUACAUAAUUGCAACCUUUCCACAUAAGCUAUUUGCUUUGUGUUGAGUGUCGUCAAGUCUUGUUGACCCUUGUUAAGAGACUUUUCAUGCUCCUAAGAUCAAGAUCACGUACACACCACAUAUAUAUAUGCUGCUUCUACACUGGAAGUACGCAACCACAUGUAUUUCGCAUCCACUAAAUAGGUUGCUCCAUACUCUAAAUGUUAGAACAUCUCUCUAAGCAUUAUUUGGUAAAUGAGACAUCAAAAGGCUAGGCAAAAUGAAAUAAAAAGAUGGACAUGUGCAAGUCCACAGAAAAAGAAAAUUGAGCACAUGAAAGCUCAUAUAUAAAAAAAAAGAGAAGAAAAAAAAAUGCUAGCCAUGUCUCAAUACAUAGAGAGUCUAUCAAAUAAAGGAGCAACCUAGUCCACCAUAUAUCACACUUGCACAUCUUGAUCUGGGAGUGUGACACUUCUUUUCAAGGAUCCGAGCUUUGACUUCGCAAUACAUGCAAAGUAAGUAUGCUAUCUCCUUUCAUCCCUACCUUGAACUCCACAUAAGCCUUUUAGAAAUAGGAUGAAAUAGAGAAGGCAACUCUUACCAUAUGCCUUGGUGAGGAAUCAUACACCAUUUGAGUGACAUGAGAGAACCAUAAGAGGAACAUUUAAGCUUUCUUUUGAAAAUAUCACAAAACCUCUGAUAUGAAACUUGCUAAGAAUGAGAAAGUUAGUGCUCAAGUCAAACUGUUCUGUUUCUCAACCACCUAAGACAAAGGAAAAGCCAUAAGCCCCAUAAGGGACUAAGGUAAUAGGGGUAAGUUUACAUAGCUAAAUUUUUCAUGCAAAGAGAAGAACUUUGUUGUACACAUGGUACUCUUGAAAUGUGAACAUAGUAACAAUACCUGAUCCACCG
This 1483-nucleotide long non-coding RNA is filed under the name Sorghum bicolor (sorghum). RNAcentral describes it as "long non-coding RNA (SBIC_LNC015768)". Lineage: Eukaryota; Viridiplantae; Streptophyta; Magnoliopsida; Poales; Poaceae. The record is from RNAcentral.